UAAGCUACAAAACACAUUGUAGUCAGGA
This 28-nucleotide non-coding RNA is filed under the name Mus musculus (house mouse). The record is from RNAcentral. Lineage: Eukaryota; Metazoa; Chordata; Mammalia; Rodentia; Muridae.